This 441-nucleotide ribosomal RNA is filed under the name uncultured bacterium. Its description in RNAcentral is "partial 16S ribosomal RNA". It matches the Rfam family "Bacterial small subunit ribosomal RNA", at positions 338 to 795 of the family's 1533-position model. The record is from RNAcentral.
CCUACGGGAGGCAGCAGUGGGGGAUAUUGCACAAUGGGGGGAACCCUGAUGCAGCGACGCCGCGUGGGUGAAGGAGCGUUUCGGCGCGUAAAGCCCUAUCGGCAGGGAAGAAGGAGGACGGUACCUGACUAAGAAGCCCCGGCUAACUACGUGCCAGCAGCCGCGGUAAUACGUAGGGGGCAAGCGUGAUCCGGAUUUACUGGGUGUAAAGGGGGCGCAGACGGCAGCGCAAGCCAGGAGGGAAAGCCCGGGGACCAACCCCGGGACUGCUCUUGGAACGGCGCGGCUGGAGUGCAGGAGGGGCAGGCGGAAUGCCUGGUGUAGCGGUGAAAGGCGUAGAUAUCAGGAGGAACACCGGUGGCGAAGGCGGCCUGCUGGACUGCGACUGACGUUGAGGCCCGAAAGCGUGGGGAGCAAACAGGAUUAGAUACCCUGGUAGUC